GCAGUGCUGCAUCUAAAGGUGGAGAAUAUUGUGGUUAUUGGCCACAGCUGCUGUGGUGGUAUAAAGGGGCUCAUGUCUAUCCCAGAUGAUGGAACCACUGCUAGUGAAUUUAUAGAAAAUUGGGUUCAAAUCUGUUCGAUCGCAAAGACCAAGGUUAAGACAGACUACAGCAGCUUAAGUUUUGAAGAACAAUGCCUCAACUGCGAGAAGGAAGCUGUGAAUGUAUCACUGGAAAACCUGUUGACAUAUCCAUUCGUGAGAGAGGGACUGCUGAAGAAAACUCUGGCACUGAAAGGUGCACACUAUGAUUUUGUCAAGGGAACUUUUGAGCUCUGGAAUCUUGAUUUUAAGGUUACGCCCGCUGUAGCUUUAUGAGUUAUUCCUGCAACCUCAUGACCCUGCUUCAAUAUCAAAUAUAUAAGAGUGUUUCUCUCUUGCAGUGAAUUCUGUA
Molecule: unclassified non-coding RNA, 451 nt
Filed under: Hevea brasiliensis (rubber tree)
Lineage: Eukaryota; Viridiplantae; Streptophyta; Magnoliopsida; Malpighiales; Euphorbiaceae
Source: RNAcentral